GAGCAACCUGCCCUCGACUCCGGGAUAACCACCGGAAACGGUGGCUAAUACUGGAUAUGACCUCCCGCCGCAUGGUGGGGGGUGGAAAGUUUUUCGGUCGGGGAUGGGCUCGCGGCCUAUCAGCUUGUUGGUGGGGUGAUGGCCUACCAAGGCGACGACGGGUAGCCGGCCUGAGAGGGUGACCGGCCACACUGGGACUGAGACACGGCCCAGACUCCUACGGGAGGCAGCAGUGGGGAAUAUUGCGCAAUGGGCGGAAGCCUGACGCAGCGACGCCGCGUGAGGGAUGAAGGCCUUCGGGUUGUAAACCUCUUUCAGCUCCGAAGAAGCGAGAGUGACGGUAGGAGCAGAAGAAGCACCGGCUAACUACGUGCCAGCAGCCGCGGUAAUACGUAGGGUGCAAGCGUUAAUCGGAAUUACUGGGCGUAAAGCGUGCGCAGGCGGUUCGGAAAGAAAGAUGUGAAAUCCCAGAGCUUAACUUUGGAACUGCAUUUUUAACUACCGAGCUAGAGUGUGUCAGAGGGAGGUGGAAUUCCGCGU
RNAcentral lists this ribosomal RNA (540 nucleotides) under uncultured bacterium. RNAcentral describes it as "bacterial SSU rRNA". It matches the Rfam family "Bacterial small subunit ribosomal RNA", at positions 119 to 674 of the family's 1533-position model. The record is from RNAcentral.